Molecule: ribosomal RNA, 485 nt
Filed under: uncultured bacterium
Lineage: Bacteria
Description: SSU rRNA
Rfam family: Bacterial small subunit ribosomal RNA
Source: RNAcentral
AGGACGAACGCUGGCGGCGUGCUUAACACAUGCAAGUCGAACGGAGUCCAUCCGGUGGCAACACCGGUGAAGACUCAGUGGCGAACGGGUGCGGAACACGUGAGCAACCUGCCCCAAAGACCGGGAUAACACCGGGAAACUGGUGCUAAUACCGGAUACCCCCACGAGCUCGCAUGGGCUUGUGAGGAAAGGGUUUCCGCUUUGGGAGGGGCUCGCGGCCUAUCAGCUAGUUGGUGAGGUAACGGCUCACCAAGGCGACGACGGGUAGCUGGUCUGAGAGGACGAUCAGCCACACUGGGACUGAGACACGGCCCAGACUCCUACGGGAGGCAGCAGUGGGGAAUCUUGCGCAAUGGGCGAAAGCCUGACGCAGCAACGCCGCGUGGGGAUGAAGGCCUUCGGGUUGUAAACCCCUUUCAGUGGGACGAAAUUGACGGUACCCACAGAAGAAGCCCGGCCAACUACGUGCCAGCAGCCGCGGUAAU